This 497-nucleotide ribosomal RNA is filed under the name uncultured bacterium. RNAcentral's name for it is "partial 16S ribosomal RNA". It matches the Rfam family "Bacterial small subunit ribosomal RNA", at positions 28 to 507 of the family's 1533-position model. The record is from RNAcentral.
GAUGAACGCUGGCGGCGUGCCUAAUACAUGCAAGUCGAGCGAACAGAUGAGGAGCUUGCUCCUCUGACGUUAGCGGCGGACGGGUGAGUAACACGUGGAUAACCUACCUAUAAGACUGGGAUAACUUCGGGAAACCGGAGCUAAUACCGGAUAAUAUAUUGAACCGCAUGGUUCAAUAGUGAAAGACGGUUUUGCUGUCACUUAUAGAUGGAUCCGCGCCGCAUUAGCUAGUUGGUAAGGUAACGGCUUACCUAGGCAACGAUGCGUAGCCGACCUGAGAGGGUGAUCGGCCACACUGGAACUGAGACACGGUCCAGACUCCUACGGGAGGCAGCAGUAGGGAAUCUUCCGCAAUGGGCGAAAGCCUGACGGAGCAACGCCGCGUGAGUGAUGAAGGUCUUCGGAUCGUAAAACUCUGUUAUUAGGGAAGAACAAAUGUGUAAGUAACUAUGCACGUCUUGACGGUACCUAAUCAGAAAGCCACGGCUAACUACGUG